UCGGACGUAGUGUAUAGCAAGCACGCCAAGCACUCUCAUAGAUUCGGACUUCGUGCCUUUGCCUUUGGGAGAUCUGGGUUCGAUUCCCAGCGUCCGAA
Non-coding RNA from Roridomyces roridus, 98 nucleotides. The record is from the annotation of a GenBank genome assembly. Lineage: Eukaryota; Fungi; Basidiomycota; Agaricomycetes; Agaricales; Mycenaceae.